RNAcentral lists this ribosomal RNA (495 nucleotides) under uncultured bacterium. RNAcentral describes it as "partial 16S ribosomal RNA". It matches the Rfam family "Bacterial small subunit ribosomal RNA", at positions 30 to 507 of the family's 1533-position model. The record is from RNAcentral.
UGAACGCUGGCGGCGUGCCUAAUACAUGCAAGUCGAGCGAACAGACGAGGAGCUUGCUCCUCUGACGUUAGCGGCGGACGGGUGAGUAACACGUGGAUAACCUACCUAUAAGACUGGGAUAACUUCGGGAAACCGGAGCUAAUACCGGAUAAUAUAUUGAACCGCAUGGUUCAAUAGUGAAAGACGGUUUUGCUGUCACUUAUAGAUGGAUCCGCGCCGCAUUAGCUAGUUGGUAAGGUAACGGCUUACCAAGGCAACGAUGCGUAGCCGACCUGAGAGGGUGAUCGGCCACACUGGAACUGAGACACGGUCCAGACUCCUACGGGAGGCAGCAGUAGGGAAUCUUCCGCAAUGGGCGAAAGCCUGACGGAGCAACGCCGCGUGAGUGAUGAAGGUCUUCGGAUCAUAAAACUCUGUUAUUAGGGAAGAACAAAUGUGUAAGUAACUAUGCACGUCUUGACGGUACCUAAUCAGAAAGCCACGGCUAACUACGUG